GAUGAACGCUAGCUACAGGCUUAACACAUGCAAGUCGAGGGGAAACGGCAUUAAGUGCUUGCACUUUUUGGACGUCGACCGGCGCACGGGUGAGUAACGCGUAUCCAACCUUCCCAUGACUAAGGGAUAACCUGCCGAAAGGCAGACUAAUACCUUAUGGUCUUCACUGACGGCAUCAGAUGUGAAGUAAAGAUUUAUCGGUUAUGGAUGGGGAUGCGUCUGAUUAGCUUGUUGGCGGGGUAACGGCCCACCAAGGCAACGAUCAGUAGGGGUUCUGAGAGGAAGGUCCCCCACAUUGGAACUGAGACACGGUCCAAACUCCUACGGGAGGCAGCAGUGAGGAAUAUUGGUCAAUGGGCGAGAGCCUGAACCAGCCAAGUAGCGUGCAGGAUGACGGCCCUAUGGGUUGUAAACUGCUUUUGUAUGGGGAUAAAGUCAAUCACGUGUGAUUGUUUGUAGGUACCAUACGAAUAAGGACCGGCUAAUUCCGUGCCAGCAGCCGCGGUAAUACGGAAGGUCCGAGCGUUAUCCGGAUUUAUUGGGUUUAAAGGGAGCGUAGGCUGGAGAUUAAGUGUGUUGUGAAAUGUAGACGCUCAACGUCUGACUUGCAGCGCAUACUGGUUUCCUUGAGUACGCACAACGUUGGCGGAAUUCGUCGUGUAGCGGUGAAAUGCUUAGAUAUGACGAAGAACUCCGAUUGCGAAGGCAGCUGACGGGAGCGCAGCUGACGCUGAAGCUCGAAGGUGCGGGUAUCGAACAGG
RNAcentral lists this ribosomal RNA (761 nucleotides) under Prevotella melaninogenica. Its description in RNAcentral is "bacterial SSU rRNA". It matches the Rfam family "Bacterial small subunit ribosomal RNA", at positions 28 to 776 of the family's 1533-position model. The record is from RNAcentral. Lineage: Bacteria; Pseudomonadati; Bacteroidota; Bacteroidia; Bacteroidales; Prevotellaceae.